Triticum aestivum (bread wheat) is the source of this 135-nucleotide non-coding RNA. The record is from Rfam. Lineage: Eukaryota; Viridiplantae; Streptophyta; Magnoliopsida; Poales; Poaceae.
UUUCUACUCCCUCCGUCCGAAAAUACCUGUCAUCAAAAUGGAUAAAAAGAGGUGUAUCUAAAACUAAAAUACGUCUAGAUACAUUUCCUUUUAUCCAUUUUGAUGACAAGUAUUUCCGGACGGAGGGAGUAUUUG